UUUCUUUACACCAACGAUAACGAUUAGAAAAGAUUUUUCAAGGAUCUAUAUGGAGCUAAAAUAGGAGUGAUUUUGCAAUACGAAUUCUUGGGCGCCAAGUAUUCUUGCUAUUAAAGUUAAGUCAACAUGCUAGUUUAUGAAGAAGAUCAAGAGAAGAAGAAAGGCUCUCUCUCUCUCUCUCUCUCUCUCUCUCUCUCUCUCUCUCUCUCUCUCUCUCUCAACACAUCUAAACACUUACACAUAUGUCAAACAUAUAUGUUCAAAGAUCCCUACAGAUUUCUAAGAUCUCCAAUUGACAACUCAUGGGAAACUUUCCACAUAAUUUUCACACCCUAAAGGUUUAGGGUGAUUUUCAAUAUGGGUCAUAGGGUUCAAUUUCAUCAAUUUACACCACCAACAUCAUUAAAAGUGACCAAUUUCAACCCUUCGUUAAGUUGACCGUAUGGUCAGACAUUAACUGAUGACGUAAAUACUGUGGGACCCACCUCAUAAAUUGACUGACCACUUACACUAAGUAUACCUCCUUAAAAAAAAAAAAAAAUCUUAAAAUCCAUUAUAUUAAAUUAUAACAUAAGAUAAAAAUUAAACAACAUGUUAAAAAUUAUUUGAAAAUAAAUAUUCAUACCCAAUCGCACCAUCGCAACCCCUGUCCCAUUCCCAAGAUGCAGCCCCACCCGACAUUCCCCACUUCCUCUCUUAUUGUAUCUAUGCUCUCUCUCAACCCCAUCUCUCACUAUUCAGUGGCAUUGCCAAACCAUCUCACCUUCAAAAAACAAUCCAUUUAUCCAUCCAAUUCAUCAUCCAAACAGAGAAGAAAGGAAAAUAGAAUAACCAAAACAACCAACCAUAACACCCAACAUCAAAUACCCAAUCUCUCUUUCCCUCUUUGAAAAUAUGAUCAAGCCACCCAUAGCUUCUAAAAAACUAACUCUUUCUCGGUGAAACUGACUGCACCACCAUCAUUCAUCAGUCUAAUCUCACAACAACACAACCACCUACAAAAGCUGAGAAAAGCCAUCUUGAACGGAGUCAUAGAUGUAAUCUCCC
This 1047-nucleotide long non-coding RNA is filed under the name Prunus persica (peach). RNAcentral's name for it is "long non-coding RNA (PPER_LNC000873)". The record is from RNAcentral. Lineage: Eukaryota; Viridiplantae; Streptophyta; Magnoliopsida; Rosales; Rosaceae.